RNAcentral lists this long non-coding RNA (1102 nucleotides) under Zonotrichia albicollis (white-throated sparrow). RNAcentral describes it as "lncRNA (ENSZALG00000000393.1)". Lineage: Eukaryota; Metazoa; Chordata; Aves; Passeriformes; Passerellidae. The record is from RNAcentral.
UUAAUCCAAGGUUUUAUUUAGGGGCUCUGGGGAGCUCCUGCACCUCAGGGGCCUCCUGCUGAGAGCCCCGGGAGAUGUGCCAAGGUUACAUUGAAAGAGACGUGGAAACCAAAAGUAGACAACAUUUUACUAACCAAUAAGUGCCCCUAAGGGAUGGGUACUGAGGAAUAAACAUUUAGGACAGCGUAUGGGGCAAGGCUUGGGGGGCUGACCCCUGGCCUCUGACUAAUCACUCGACAACCUGGACUGAAGCUUCUAGAUGGAGGGGAUGGGAUGGUGAGUGAUUGACAGAGAGCCAGGGUGGAGAUUUAGGGAUGCUCUCAUCCAGGGAGAGGGAUUGCACAGGAAGGGAGUACAGUCUGGGGUAAACCAUUUGGGAAAAGUACGGGGAUACAAAACAAAGUUACUUCAAAGUAUUACUCAAAGUAUAAAAACACACUACAACAGUUAAAUAGGGAAGGUUCAUAAAUUAAGCCCCAGUUGAAAAGUGAAGGAGCAACUCAAAGUGAUGCUUCUGAGCUGAAGCCAUUGACUGCCCACCUGCUUUCAGUAUUUGUCCUAGCCAAGCUCCUCCUUGAGGCUGUGGAAAGGAUUCCUCAGUACACGGAGGAAGUGCCACUUGUAGGGCUAGGAUUAUAGGAUCAGAGCUUGUGGGAGUGGUUUUGAGCUAUUGGGACUGAAUUCACUGUCUUUUCCGAAAUAAUGAACAGCACUGCAAAUUAGGCUAAUUCUGUCUCUGCUGGGAGGAUAUUUUAGCAUCUUGCACAAGCGGUCUGAUCUUUGAAGCCUGAUGCAGUGUGUUCCAGCUUCUCAUGACAGAGAAGACACAGGCUUGUAAGAGGAUCAUGGAAGGAAGCUAUCAAGUGGAUUCCAAGAAUGUGGUCAUCCUGACCCAGCUCAUUCAAAUUCAUUUGUCUCGUGAUAAGAAUUAUAGACAGAAUACACCAGGUGUACAGAAGAAGACAAAUAGUUCAGAUGUCUAUGUGGAACCACUUAUGUGUGGAAGGCUUGUUUGAAUCCCAUAGAAGACUGGAGGAUGUUUCUGUUCCUCUGGAAGAACAACAGGGAGAAAUUUCCCACAGCAAGUUGUGGAUGGGACUGG